AGACUCCCUAUACUGAGAUACCAUGAUCACGAAGGUGGUUUUCCAGGGCGAGGCUCAUCCAUGGCACUGCGGGUGUGCUGACCCCGGUGACUUCCCCAAAUGCAGGAAACUGGACUGCGUAAUUUGUGGUAGUGGGGGACUGCAUUGCACUCUCCCC
This is a small nuclear RNA of Echinops telfairi (small Madagascar hedgehog), 157 nucleotides long. Its record names the gene U1. It matches the Rfam family "U1 spliceosomal RNA". From Rfam's summary of the family: U1 is a small nuclear RNA (snRNA) component of the spliceosome (involved in pre-mRNA splicing). Its 5' end forms complementary base pairs with the 5' splice junction, thus defining the 5' donor site of an intron. NCBI's taxonomy places the organism in Eukaryota, Metazoa, Chordata, Mammalia, Afrosoricida, Tenrecidae. The record is from Ensembl.